CGUGUCCAGCAAGGGCUCCAGAGAGCCCUGCCACUGCCUUCCUCCGGAGCUGUGAUCUGGACACUGGGUUUUAUGAUGCGAUAUUAACAGGGCUCUGCAAUCCUAGACGCUGUAAAUCUUCCUCUCGCUUCCUGCAGAAGUAAUUGCCUCACAUGCAUAAAACAGCCUGCUGAAAAGAGUUCCAGGCUUCUCCUCAGCUCCCUUUCCACCGAGUAAGCAUUCCUAUAAAGAUGGCUCUGGCACCCAGAUGGUCUGCGGGAGGAAAUCGUCGUCGGCAACUCAUCGUGCCAAGACACACAGAAGGUCUAUGGCUCACAAUGGAAAGUUCAGCAUCCCAGCUCCUGUAAUGAUGCUACCAACAUCUCAUCAUCUAGGGAAGCUGCACUAAGCCCAGGUUUCUACGUAAGAGAAAAAAGCUCUCUGGCAAGAAUCACUUGGAAAAACCCAAGUACUCGAGUGCAAAGCAAAGGUAGUAUUCGUUGGGGGAAGACUAUGGAGCACUGGGCUGGAGGACGGG
Apodemus sylvaticus (European woodmouse) is the source of this 517-nucleotide long non-coding RNA. RefSeq lists it as uncharacterized. The transcript has 3 exons. The record is from RefSeq and is a predicted model, not a curated record. Lineage: Eukaryota; Metazoa; Chordata; Mammalia; Rodentia; Muridae.